ACAGCAGCAGCCGCGGGAAUACGAAGGGGGCUAGCGUUGUUCGGAUUUACUGGGCGUAAAGCGCACGUAGGCGGACUUUUAAGUCAGGGGUGAAAUGCCAAGGCUCAACCUUGGAACUGCCUUUGAUACUGGAAGUCUUGAGUGUGGAAGAGGUUGGUGGAACUGCGAGUGUAGAGGUGAAAUUCGUAGAUAUUCGCAAGAACACCAGUGGCGAAGGCGGCCAACUGGUCCAUUACUGACGCUGAGGUGCGAAAGCGUGGGGAGCAAACAGGAUUAGAUACCCCCGUAGUCCCUGUCUCUUAUAC
This 305-nucleotide ribosomal RNA is filed under the name uncultured bacterium. RNAcentral's name for it is "partial 16S ribosomal RNA". It matches the Rfam family "Bacterial small subunit ribosomal RNA", at positions 505 to 807 of the family's 1533-position model. The record is from RNAcentral.